Lolium perenne is the source of this 562-nucleotide non-coding RNA. The record is from RefSeq and is a predicted model, not a curated record. NCBI's taxonomy places the organism in Eukaryota, Viridiplantae, Streptophyta, Magnoliopsida, Poales, Poaceae.
CUGGUCGGCGCAUAGGAUUCUCCUCUUCCCCAGGCUUCGGUCGCUGCAGCCUGUAGACUUUGUAGAUGAGUAGGAUGUUCUCCAGGUUUCCGGCCAUGGACGGCCUGUCGACUGUCUGACUCGCAGAUCGCGUCGGCCACUUCGCGUUCGCGGGAGCCUGGAGCCGAGCGUCGUCGGCGAAACCAAAGGACACAGGGACAGCCUAGGGAGCUCCCGAGACCUUGCUGAAGGCUUCUUGCUGCCCUGAGCUUCAACUGACCGCAGGAGUUGCCGAUCAUCACAUGAGAAGCGCGACGGUCUGCUGGAUUCGCGGCCAUAGGCUGGAACCGAGUCAGGUCAUGGGAGUCCUGGCUGACUGAGCCCUGCAUGAUGUCUCCAGAACCGGUGUUCGCGCUUCUGGGUCCAGCCUCUAUCUUGAGUAACUUCAAGCUUGAAGCAUCCAUCUUUUGGAGUCGAGAAGAAACACCCGGAGAAGCUGAAUUGCAAAGAGCAAUGCGUACCUGGACCUGGAGGCGCCGUGCCCCUGGCUCCCUGAUCACCACCACCGCGUCGUCUCGCCGUG